GGUGGCUCAGUGGUAGAGUGCUUGCCUUGCAUGCAUGAGGCUCUGGGUUCACUUCCUCAGCACCA
Molecule: transfer RNA, 65 nt
Filed under: Dipodomys ordii (Ord's kangaroo rat)
Lineage: Eukaryota; Metazoa; Chordata; Mammalia; Rodentia; Heteromyidae
Rfam family: tRNA
About the family: Transfer RNA (tRNA) molecules are approximately 80 nucleotides in length. Their secondary structure includes four short double-helical elements and three loops (D, anti-codon, and T loops). Further hydrogen bonds mediate the characteristic L-shaped molecular structure. tRNAs have two regions of fundamental functional importance: the anti-codon, which is responsible for specific mRNA codon recognition, and the 3' end, to which the tRNAs corresponding amino acid is attached (by aminoacyl-tRNA synthetases). tRNAs cope with the degeneracy of the genetic code in two manners: having more than one tRNA (with a specific anti-codon) for a particular amino acid; and 'wobble' base-pairing, i.e. permitting non-standard base-pairing at the 3rd anti-codon position.
Source: Rfam by way of RNAcentral